AAGAAAAUCCCCUCCCCAAACUCCCGACACGACCCGCGCUGCUCCCCUGCUCUCCGCGUGUCCUCCUCCGCCGCCGCAGCUUCCUCCUCCGCCGCUCACACCUGCCUCGCGCAGCCCCCCUAGCCCCCUUGCCUACCUCCCAAAUCUCCCCUCUUUCACCACAAAAUCGGUUCUUCUCCUCCCGUCGUGCCUCCUGCUCGCGCGCGGCGACGGUACGUCCUCCUCGUCGCUCUCGUCGCCCCCGUCGCCGGAGGAGGUGCGGGGCAGGCAGAAGUGGCUCGCGUUGUGCCUGCGCUACCUCGGGUGCAAGUGGGCCGCCGUGUCGCGGGCCUACGCGCCGGUCGCCGCCUCGGCCGUUCGCCCAUCCGCGGAGGCCUGCGUAUUGGUGCCCUAGGCUCUGUUGAUUUACAAGGUCAUGUUGGUUUCUUCAGUGGGGAGAGGCGAGAAGAAUUGUUGCAUCUGGAAAUGGAGGUCAACACCAUCUACAGGACAAUGAAGCAAAUAAUCUACUGCAAUUUGAUCUACUAGGACAUGAUCAAUUGUGCUUCAAAUUACAAAGCAAGCAAGAUUCGUCACUGGAGAUUAAAAAUCAAGGAGCCCUGUACUUCUUCUCACCGACAACAGCACGAGCAGGGGACCUCCGGGCGGCAACACACGAGCAGGGGACCUCCGGGCGGCAACACGAGCAGGGCACCAACAACAACUUGCAGAGGAGCAGCAGAAGGAGCUCGAGCUUGAUGUCCAGGACGAGCUUGAGGGAGCUCGAGGUCCAGGACGAGCUUGAGGGAGCUCGAGGUCCAGGCGUGGCGGGAACCCGCGGUUGAGGCGCGUGCAGGUCCUGGGCGGCGACGGCGCAUAUCCUGGGUGGUGGGAGGGGAUAUCGGACACGCAGGCCUGGCGACGGCGGCCCAGGUCCUGGGUGGCAGAGGAGCAUGUCCUGGGCGACGGCGAAGCAAGCAAUUCGGUGGCGCAGAUCCUGGGCGACGGAGCAGCACGUACUGGAGCAAGCAAUUGGGCGAAGCAGGACCUGGGCGUUGGAGGAGUGUCAGGCCUGCUCUAUUGUUGACACUAGAAAUGCAACAGUAGCGAUUCAGUUUGCCCAGCCCAACGUCAGCCGUCGAUCUACCAUCCAAGGGACGCGGAAGAGUGGUACCGCUUCGCGGCCCAGAUCGUCGUCACAGCCGUUGAUCUGAAAACGGACGGUUGCUACCGUUUCACUUACUUUUUGAAAGUUACCGCAUGUUGUCCUUUUACUGCUCAUGUCGCUGUCGCUCCUUUUUACCUCGCUAAAACCCUUUUAAGCUCGCCUCCGGAUUGUGGAGAGGGCAUCUUGACUUGUAUCUGGGCUUGGCCCUCGAGCCGCCGUGUUCCGGCUGGCCACAAACCCUAGAACUCCAGCUUGAGUGAAUGAAAAUUGAUCCCCAAAAUUGCCCCACAAUUGAGUGAUUUUCC
RNAcentral lists this ribosomal RNA (1452 nucleotides) under Triticum aestivum (bread wheat). RNAcentral describes it as "partial small subunit ribosomal RNA". The record is from RNAcentral. Lineage: Eukaryota; Viridiplantae; Streptophyta; Magnoliopsida; Poales; Poaceae.